This 243-nucleotide long non-coding RNA is filed under the name Homo sapiens (human). RNAcentral describes it as "non-protein coding lnc-CDKN2AIP-1:1". Lineage: Eukaryota; Metazoa; Chordata; Mammalia; Primates; Hominidae. The record is from RNAcentral.
CAUUAGCAUUACCUCUUCCAAACACCCAUGUUGACCUUUCAACAAACAUAUUUUUCGCUUCUUUCUCAUUUCUAGGCCCUCUUCCUUCUUUGAAUCCCACUUUUGGAUGGAUAAUAGUUCAGGUGGGGCUGUCAUAGCUAUAUGCAGGGGUCCCAUUGUGCUAGCUGGCAGGCUUUGCACAAGAUUUUGCAGCUGAAAGAGGAAUUUGAGAAAAAUACAAGAUCCCAAUGAGUAUAAAAUAAA